RNAcentral lists this ribosomal RNA (252 nucleotides) under uncultured bacterium. RNAcentral's name for it is "partial 16S ribosomal RNA". It matches the Rfam family "Bacterial small subunit ribosomal RNA", at positions 524 to 776 of the family's 1533-position model. The record is from RNAcentral.
UACGUAGGUCCCGAGCGUUGUCCGGAUUUAUUGGGCGUAAAGCGAGCGCAGGUGGUUUAUUAAGUCUGGUGUAAAAGGCAGUGGCUCAACCAUUGUACGCAUUGGAAACUGGUAGACUUGAGUCCAGGAGAGGAGAGUGGAAUUCCAUGUGUAGCGGUGAAAUGCGUAGAUAUAUGGAGGAACACCGGUGGCGAAAGCGGCUCUCUGGCCUGUAACUGACACUGAGGCUCGAAAGCGUGGGGAGCAAACAGG